This 689-nucleotide ribosomal RNA is filed under the name Clostridium sp. MU01-1. RNAcentral describes it as "bacterial SSU rRNA". It matches the Rfam family "Bacterial small subunit ribosomal RNA", at positions 79 to 775 of the family's 1533-position model. Lineage: Bacteria; Bacillati; Bacillota; Clostridia; Eubacteriales; Clostridiaceae. The record is from RNAcentral.
CACUGCCCUCUGGAGGGCGAAGACCGGGUUGAGUAACGCGUGGGUAACCUGCCCUGUACACACGGGAUAACAUACCGAAAGGUAUACUAAUACGGGAUAACAUACGAAAGUCGCAUGGCUUUUGUAUCAAAGCUCCGGCGGUACAGGAUGGACCCGCGUCUGAUUAGCUAGUUGGUAAGGUAAUGGCUUACCAAGGCAACGAUCAGUAGCCGACCUGAGAGGGUGAUCGGCCACACUGGAACUGAGACACGGUCCAGACUCCUACGGGAGGCAGCAGUGGGGAAUAUUGCACAAUGGGCGAAAGCCUGAUGCAGCAACGCCGCGUGAGCGAUGAAGGCCUUCGGGUCGUAAAGCUCUGUCCUCAAGGAAGAUAAUGACGGUACUUGAGGAGGAAGCCCCGGCUAACUACGUGCCAGCAGCCGCGGUAAUACGUAGGGGGCUAGCGUUAUCCGGAAUUACUGGGCGUAAAGGGUGCGUAGGUGGUUUUUUAAGUCAGAAGUGAAAGGCUACGGCUCAACCGUAGUAAGCUUUUGAAACUAGAGAACUUGAGUGCAGGAGAGGAGAGUAGAAUUCCUAGUGUAGCGGUGAAAUGCGUAGAUAUUAGGAGGAAUACCAGUGGCGAAAGGUCGGCUUCUUCUUGGACUGUAAUAUGACACUGGAGGUCACGCAAGCCGUCUAGGCGCGAAAUC